This 574-nucleotide ribosomal RNA is filed under the name uncultured bacterium. Its description in RNAcentral is "bacterial SSU rRNA". It matches the Rfam family "Bacterial small subunit ribosomal RNA", at positions 102 to 676 of the family's 1533-position model. The record is from RNAcentral.
ACGGGUGAGUAACGCGUAGGAACUUGCCUUUAAGAGGGGGAUAACCAGAGGAAACUUUGGCUAAUACCGCAUAGACUCGAGAGAGGAAAGCUGCCUGUAGAGGUGGCGCUUAGAGAGAGGCCUGCGUCCGAUUAGCUAGUUGGUGGGGUAAAGGCUUACCAAGGCGAUGAUCGGUAACUGGUCUGAGAGGACGACCAGUCACACUGGGACUGAGACACGGCCCAGACUCCUACGGGAGGCAGCAGUGGGGAAUAUUGGACAAUGGGGGGAACCCUGAUCCAGCGAUGCCGCGUGAGUGAAGAAGGCCUUCGGGUCGUAAAGCUCUUUAGGUUAGGAAGAAGGUUACGAGGUGAAUAGCCUUGUAAUUUGACGGUACUGACAGAAUAAGCACCGGCAAACUCUGUGCCAGCAGCCGCGGUAAUACAGAGGGUGCGAGCGUUAAUCGGAAUUACUGGGCGUAAAGGGCGCGUAGGCGGUGGGAUGUGUGUGAUGUGAAAGCCCUGGGCUUAACCUAGGAAGUGCAUCGCAAACUAUUCUGCUGGAGUAUAUGAGAGGGUGGCGGAAUUUCCGGUGU